AAGAUUUUAAGUUAAGCUUAAACUAUUAACCUUCAAAGUUAAAAAUAAAUAAAUUUUUAAAUCUUA
RNAcentral lists this transfer RNA (66 nucleotides) under Ammothea clausi. Its description in RNAcentral is "tRNA-Trp". Lineage: Eukaryota; Metazoa; Arthropoda; Pycnogonida; Pantopoda; Ammotheidae. The record is from RNAcentral.